This 445-nucleotide ribosomal RNA is filed under the name uncultured bacterium. Its description in RNAcentral is "partial 16S ribosomal RNA". It matches the Rfam family "Bacterial small subunit ribosomal RNA", at positions 354 to 796 of the family's 1533-position model. The record is from RNAcentral.
GUGAGGAAUAUUGGUCAAUGGGCGAGAGCCUGAACCAGCCAAGUAGCGUGCAGGACGACGGCCCUAUGGGUUGUAAACUGCUUUUACACGGGGAUAAAGUGUGCGACGUGUCGUUCAUUGCAGGUACCGUGCGAAUAAGGACCGGCUAAUUCCGUGCCAGCAGCCGCGGUAAUACGGAAGGUCCGGGCGUUAUCCGGAUUUAUUGGGUUUAAAGGGAGCGUAGGCCGUCUGUUAAGCGUGUUGUGAAAUGUAGAUGCUCAACAUCUGAAUUGCAGCGCGAACUGACCGACUUGAGUGCGCAGGAAGUAGGCGGAAUUCGUGGUGUAGCGGUGAAAUGCUUAGAUAUGGCACAGAACACCAAUUGCGAAGGCAGCUCACUAAGGCGAUACUGACGCUGAGGCACGAAAGCGUGGGGAUCGAACAGGAUUAGAAACCCCAGUAGUCC